RNAcentral lists this ribosomal RNA (289 nucleotides) under uncultured bacterium. Its description in RNAcentral is "partial 16S ribosomal RNA". It matches the Rfam family "Bacterial small subunit ribosomal RNA", at positions 334 to 624 of the family's 1533-position model. The record is from RNAcentral.
UUGGCCUACGGGAGGCAGCAGUGGGGAAUAUUGCACAAUGGGGGGAACCCUGAUGCAGCGACGCCGCGUGGGUGAAGGAGCACCUCGGUGCGUAAAGCCCUAUCGGCAGGGAAGAAAAGCGAACAGGUUCGCCUGGACGGCACCUGACUAAGAAGCCCCGGCUAACUACGUGCCAGCAGCCGCGGUAAUACGUAGGGGGCAAGCGUUAUCCGGAUUCACUGGGGGUAAAGGGAGCGUAGACGGCGGCGCAAGGCUGGGGUGAAAGCCCGGGGCCCAACCCCGGGCCUGC